RNAcentral lists this long non-coding RNA (484 nucleotides) under Olea europaea subsp. europaea. The record is from RNAcentral. Lineage: Eukaryota; Viridiplantae; Streptophyta; Magnoliopsida; Lamiales; Oleaceae.
CAACGGGUUUUACCCCUAACACUCCAUUCAUGCCGGAGAUAUUGUCAUAUCCCCUACCCGACAGAUUCAAAUAUCCUCGCAUUAAAGAGUAUGAUGGGACGACUGACCCAAUCAACCAUCUCAAUAUAUAUACUGAUGUCAUGAAUUUGCAAGUUGCGCCGAACCAGGUUAUGUGCAAAGUCUUUUCGCAAACGUUGACUAAUGCUGCUAGGGAUUGGUUCUCGACAUUGGAGCCCAACUCCAUAGCCUCAUUCUCAAAUUUGGCUGAUAAGUUCUCAGCCUUCUUUGCAAGUAGCAAGCGAAUCAGAAAGACUGCGGCCUCUCUCAUGCAAUUUCGCCACGAACCAAAUGAAACCCUACGAGGAUUUAUGACGAGGUUUAACAAAGAAAGGCUUCAAAUACCCGACCUGCACAUCACAGGGGCUGUUUUCGCCCUCACUUACGUAGUAAGAUGUGAAGCCUUCAAGAUGUCCUUAUCAAAGAC